UAAGUAAUGUGAAUUGCAGUAUUCCGUGAAUCAUCGAAUCUUUGAACGCAAAUUGCACUCUCUGGUAUUCCGGAGAGUAUGCCUGUUUGAGGGUCAAUUAAAUAAAAAUCGGGGUUGUUGCUGCUUUUUGUGGUGACGCUUCGGAAUUGGGUCGUCUUUACCUUCGGUUAAGUGACCUAAAAUUUCGUAUGAUUUUUCGAACGUAUUUAAAUGAUUUUACGUAUGUUUGUAAUAUCGAAUAUUAGGUGUGGUCAUUUUCGUGAUUCAUGUCUAUAAUUUUCAUAUAUUGACCUCAAAUCAGGUAAGAAUACCCGCUGAACUUAA
This 324-nucleotide ribosomal RNA is filed under the name uncultured Glomeraceae. Its description in RNAcentral is "eukaryotic LSU rRNA". The stretch from base 1 to 96 matches the Rfam family "5.8S ribosomal RNA", at positions 59 to 154 of the family's 154-position model. Lineage: Eukaryota; Fungi; Glomeromycota; Glomeromycetes; Glomerales; Glomeraceae. The record is from RNAcentral.